CAGUUUCGAUGCGAAUUAUCAGUUCAAUUUUACCCUCUCUCUAGAAUUAUCAGUAUACUCAGCUCUGUUCAAGUUCAUUGUUGCUGUUUCCUCAGAUUUCAGUUAGGUGUUAUCGUGCUCCAUACUCAGCUCUGUUCAAGCUCCUUGUUGCUGCUCAGGUCUGUGCAUUGAUUUACCAAAAGAUAAAUAAGGAAAGGAAGGAGGCACAAAAGUUAGAAGAAAAAAAGAAAAGGAAGGAAGAGGUUCUAGGUGAAGUGGGACAAAUGAUGGAUGAAGAUCUUGUUGUCCAUAACUUGGACAAAAAACUCACCGAAAUUGAAAAAUUCGUGAAUCCUAACCGGGUGAUACCUCCUAGUUUCUUUAAUCCUACAGCAUCAAUUAAGGGCCAAAAUCUCUUUGUUUCAAGAAUGCUACAACAACAAUUCAAGAAUCCUGGCCAAAGUCUCCUAGUUUCAAGAAUUAUUCACCAGCAGGUCAAGUUAUCCAGCUUUUAUGUCGAGUAGUAUGAAAAAGAAGAAAAAGAAGCAUCCUCAUACAUUCAGGUGUAUGAAAGAGACCAUUAAACAGUACUCGUAACUCCGUUGCUGUAUUUUUUACUCGUUACUCGUUCCUGCCUUGGUCGUCAUCGAUUUUCCCAGUUAUGAAUGCAUUUAAUAAGCUUGAUUUGUUUUUUUUGUGAUCAUUAAAGCCAUUGUUAUAGUAGAUCUGAUCCUGUAUAUCGUUGACUGUGGAUUAUACCUGAGAUUGUUGCCCUAUAUCGGAUUGUGGGAAGACGGUUACUGAUUUGGUUCUGUAUCUGUGAUUUGGUUGUAAGUUGUUUUUUUUUUGUGAUUGUCCAUAACAAUAACUGCUGUUUAGUAGUAUUUGACAUCACUAGGAUGGCAUUCCCUCCAAGUACUAGUACUACUAGCAAUUCUAAUGCUACUGCUGGCAUCCUCAUACAUAAUAUGACAAGACCAGCAAAGGACUAGUACUACUAAAC
This is a long non-coding RNA of Capsicum annuum, 982 nucleotides long. RefSeq lists it as uncharacterized. The transcript is spliced from 3 exons. Lineage: Eukaryota; Viridiplantae; Streptophyta; Magnoliopsida; Solanales; Solanaceae. The record is from RefSeq and is a predicted model, not a curated record.